This 1329-nucleotide ribosomal RNA is filed under the name uncultured bacterium. Its description in RNAcentral is "bacterial SSU rRNA". It matches the Rfam family "Bacterial small subunit ribosomal RNA". The record is from RNAcentral.
GAGUUUGAUCCUGGCUCAGAGCGAACGCUGGCGGCGCGCUUAACACAUGCAAGUCGCACGAGAAAGGGAGCAAUCCUAAGUAAAGUGGCGCACGGGUGAGUAACACGUGGAUCAUCUACCUUUUAGUGGGGAAUACCUCUGGGAAACCGGAGACAAUACCGCAUAAGCCUGUAAAGGGAAAGCAGCAAUGCGCUGAAAGAGGAGUCCGCGGCCGAUUAGCUAGUUGGCGGGGUAAUGGCCCACCAAGGCGAAGAUCGGUAGCCGGCCUGAGAGGGCACACGGCCACACUGGCACUGAAACACGGGCCAGACUCCUACGGGAGGCAGCAGUGGGGAAUCUUGCACAAUGGGCGAAAGCCUGAUGCAGCGACGCCGCGUGAGCGAUGAAGCCCUUCGGGGGGUAAAGCUCUUUCGACGGGAACGAUAAUGACGGUACCCGGAGAAGAAGCUGCGGCUAACUACGUGCCAGCAGCCGCGGUAAUACGUAGGCAGCGAGCGUUGUUCGGAAUUACUGGGCGUAAAGAGUGUGUAGGCGGUGUUCCCAGUCUGUUGUGAAAUCUCCCGGCUUAACUGGGAGGGUGCAGCGGAAACUAGAAUGCUAGAGGGUGGGAGAGGUAAGCGGAAUUCCUGGUGUAGCGGUGAAAUGCGUAGAUAUCAGGAGGAACACCUGUGGUGUAGACAGCUUACUGGACCACUUCUGACGCUGAGACACGAAAGCGUGGGUAGCAAACAGGAUUAGAUACCCUGGUAGUCCACGCCCUAAACGAUGCAUACUUGGUGUGAGCGAUUCAUUUCGUUCGUGCCGGAGCUAACGCGUUAAGUAUGCCGCCUGGGGAGUACGGUCGCAAGAUUAAAACUCAAAGGAAUUGACGGGGACCCGCACAAGCAGCGGAGCGUGUGGUUUAAUUCGAUGCGACGCGAAGAACCUUACCAGGGUUUGACAUGCAUUUGCACCACCCAGAGAUGGGUGUCCCUUCGGGGCGGAUGCACAGGUGCUGCAUGGCUGUCGUCAGCUCGUGCCGUGAGGUGUUGGGUUAAGUCCCGCAACGAGCGCAACCCCUGUCGUCGGUUAGGAUGUCCGGCGAGACUGCCACGCUAAACGUGGAGGAAGGUGGGGAUGACGUCAAGUCAGCACGGCCCUUACGUCCUGGGCGACACACACGCUACAAUGGUCGAGACAACGGGUUGCGAACUCGCGAGGGGGAGCUAAUCCUAUCAAACUCGGUCUCAGUUCGGAUUGCAGGCUGCAACUCGCCUGCAUGAAGCCGGAGUUGCUAGUAACCGUGGGUCAGCACACCACGGUGAAUACGUUCCCGGGUCUUGUACACAC